AGUUUAGCCUGUUAGCAUGCUAAAAGUUUCAAACUGAAUAAGCUGUUUCUACCUGCAGGAUUUUGCAGACUGUUUUAAGGAGGCUUGGGAAGGUACUUCUGUACAGCUGAACUGCGGCGUGGAUCUCAGUGCUGAUUGGUUAAAGCCAGAGAGGGCAAAUGCUGAUUGGUUGCCAUAAAGUCAAACAUUGCGAACCCUUCAUUGUUCUAUUCGUGCGUUCUGUUCAUGCCACCGAGGUCCUACAGUGAAAAGCCACUCAAUGUACAGGACAAAGUAAAAAUCUGGCCUGAUGAUGUUGAAUGUCCAUGUCUGAGCAAAAUUUCAUGGCAGUCUUAGUUGUUGAGAUUUUUAUCUAAAAAAAACAAAACACUGACAACCUGACGUGACGGUCAGUGGAUCAUUCUCUGAGUAUCAUUAUUGGAAAGAAACCACCUCAUGUUAAAGCAUCUAAAUGCUGUUUAGAUAUUUCAGUGUGAACCAACAUGAUAAACUGACCAACUGACUGAGAAAGCAACGAUAUUCCCAGAGUCCUGCUGCUAUUGUGGCCAGAAAUAAUGUUUUUCUCUGACAGUCUUUCUGCAGCCGACCAUCUCUGCCAUCACUGUGGAAUCAAUACAUCCUUCUGGCAAACAUGUUGAAGUCUUUCUACAGCCAACCACCUCUGCCAUCACUGUGGAAACUGUGGAAACAAAUUCAACACAUCCAUCUGCCAAACAUGUUAAAGACGCGGUACUCUUUGUGGUUUUCACAAUGUUUGCUGUGACGCUCAUAGUGAUAUUUGCCCUGGUUAUUGCCUAUAAAUACAAAUGUCACAAAGUGCGAGGUGCUGAGGUCACCACCUACAGAAACAAACCCAGUUCUUCAGAGGAAGCAACAGUUGGUGUAGAUAUUUAUGAAAAUCAAGAAGUUGUUCAGAACUCAAAGCCAAUGAAAUCCAGACAGCAGAGUGCCUGUCUGCAGUAUGACGACGUAGGUGAAGACCAACCAGACUAUGAAAACAUCACAGAAGACAUCUACUGUAACCAAAGUUUCCAUCGAGCCUAUAACAGAUGAACUGUUUGUACUGUUUUUAGCAUGAACAACAGCACAACACAGAUUCAUGUACCACUGCAAUCUGACAAUUACAUCCUCUAACUGAAGACUUUGUUGGUCUUUGUGACCCAGAUUUGUUUUAUUAUUAACUGAAGAUAUAAUUGAAUAUGUACAUAUUCAUGGUUUUAACUCUUUAAACUUUUGCCUUUGCAUUAAUCUUCUUCAGUCUGUACUCCUUGUAUCCAAUUGUGGAUAUUAUGUAAAAUUUCAACCAUACAACUUAAAUGUUAAUUACCUAUUUGUAUAUAAUAAAAGUAAAUAAGUAAA
Molecule: long non-coding RNA, 1359 nt
Organism: Amphiprion ocellaris (clown anemonefish)
Lineage: Eukaryota; Metazoa; Chordata; Actinopteri; Pomacentridae
Source: Ensembl